ACUUCUUUAGUAUAAGUCAGUACACCUUCCUUCCAAGAAGCAAGUCUAAAAAAUUUUAGGAGAAGUA
This 67-nucleotide transfer RNA is filed under the name Sipunculus nudus (marine worm). RNAcentral describes it as "tRNA-Gly". Lineage: Eukaryota; Metazoa; Annelida; Sipuncula; Golfingiida; Sipunculidae. The record is from RNAcentral.